This 2176-nucleotide long non-coding RNA is filed under the name Marmota monax (woodchuck). The record is from RNAcentral. Lineage: Eukaryota; Metazoa; Chordata; Mammalia; Rodentia; Sciuridae.
CAAGACCUUCUCUCAAAAUGAAAAAGAGAUAUAGCUGUGGUAAAAUAUCCCUAGGUUUAAUUUCAAGUAGAGGAGGAAAAACAAUAAAGAAUCCUACAUCAUACAUAUAUUUUAUUUUGAGACAGUGGCUCCACUAGUUUGCUGAUGCUGGCUUUGAACUUCUGAUCCUCCUGCCUCUUUCUCUGGAGCCACUGGGAUUACAGAUGUGCACCACCGUGCCAGCUGUUUAUUUAUUUUGGAGGUAAUGGGGAUUGAACCCAGGGGGCUCUCCCACUUAAAUAUAUCAAUAGCCCUUUUUAUUUUUAAUUUUGAGACAGUGUCUCUAUAACUUUCCCAGGGUGAUCUCCUAAUUGUGAUCCUCCUCUCAGCCUCUGAUGUAGCUGGGACUACAGUUGUGGGCCACUGCACUUGGCUCAUGAUUAUUUUGAGGAAAAAUUUGUAGUGCUGGGGAUUGAUCUCAAGGCCUCACUUAGUAUGUGCUCCGCCACUGAGUUACACUCACAGCCUAUAGCAUAAUUAUUUUGAGAUCCAUCCAAAUUGUUCAUUUCUUUUUAUUGCUGAGUUGUAGUCCAUUAUACAAAUAUACCAGUGUGUUGAUCAUUUACCUACUGAUAGGCAUUUGAGUUGUUUCCAGUUUUGGACCACUAACAAAUGUUAUGGACUGAAUUGUGUGCCCUCUUCCCCUGAUAAAUUCACAUUAAAGACCUAACCAGCCAGGUGCAAUGACACACGCUUGUAAUCGCAGUGGUUUGGGAUGUUGAGACCAGAGGAUUGAAAGUUCAAAACCAGCCUCAGCAAAAGCGAGACACUAAGCAACUCAGUGAGACCCUGUCUCUAAAUAAAAUACAUAAUAGGGCUGUGGAUGUGGCUCAGUGGUUGAGUGCCUCUGAGUUCAAUCCCCAGUAUCCCCCUCCCCUCAAAAAAAAGUAGAAGCAGAAGCAGAUGCAUGCUCAGUUCUUCUAGAGUGGGUGCUUUGAUUGCUGCUUGAUUGCCUGAAGACAUCAGACUCACUCUGCCAAAUUGUACUGUUUUUAAAAAAAUAUUUUUUCUAGUUGUAGAUAAACCCACAGUAUCUUUUUUUUUUUUUUAAUGUGGUGCUGAGGAUCGAACCCAGGGCCUCACACAUGUGAGGCAGCUGCUUUACCACUGAGCUACAGCCCCCAACUCCCAAACUGUACUCUUUUUUUAAUAUUUAUUUUUUCUUUGUAGUCGGACACAAUACCUUUAUUUUAUGUAUUUAUUUUUAUGUGGUGCUAAGGAUCAAACACAGGGCCUCACACUUGCUAGGUGAGUGCUCUACCUCUGAGCUACAACCCUAGCCCCCAAACUGUACUCUUAAUGGUGACUCUCCAGAGAGUUUCCAGGCCUUAAGUACCUGAGUGGAAAUGCAUCAUUGUUUGGUUCCUUUUGUUCUGAAGCUCCGAAUUCUUGAACUGUGUAGUUACUGGUUCCUCCAGGUCUCUAGCCUGUUGAACACCAUUGUGGGACUAUCCACAAUGAUCAUGUAAGACAAUCUAACAAAUUCCCUUUUAAUAAUAAUAAAAACUCUAAUCACCAAUGCGACAGUAUCUAGAGACAGGGUCUUUAAGAGGUAAUUAGGUUAAAUGAGAUUAUAAGGUGGGGCUAUAUACAGUCCUAAUCAGAUGAACUGUAUGUAGCCUUACAAAAAAAAAGGAAGAGAGGGCUGGGGAUGUGUCUCAGUGGUAGAAUGCUUGCCUACCAUGCAUGAAUCUCUAGGUUUGAUCACCAGCACUCCCCCCAAAUUAAAAAAAAAAAGGAAGAGAGAGAGGGUUCUGUCUCCCUCUGAUAUCUCUUUUCCACUCUCAACUCAAUGUGAGGACACAGCCAGAAGGAAGCCAUCUACAAGCCAAGAUUUUUUUCCAGCAACCGAAUGACCAGCACCUUGAUCUUGGACUUUCCAGUCUCUAGAAGUGUUAGAAAUUAAAUUUCUGUUGUUUCAGCCACCCAAUCUCUGUAGUAUUUUGUUAUGGCAGCCCAAGAUGAAUAUGACAAGAAAUAAAGGUGACAUUCAUGUACAAAUCUUAGUGUAGAAGUCUGCUUUUUUUAAAAAAAAAAAAAAGGUAAAUAAAUACCCAGAAGUGGAAUGGCUGAAAUCAUACCUAUAUGUUUAACUUAAGACACUGCCAAACUGUUUUCCAAAGUUGCUAAGCCAUUU